CGAACGGCUCCGUAUAUCUGUUAUUACCAAUCGCCCUAGGGCUACCGCGGAUAUCCGCGGUAAUUCUGGGGCCAAUACGUAACCGAUUCUUGGGGCUGGUCUGGGGCCCCCCCUUAAAAGGGGGCCCCUGUCCAGCCCUGGGCUUGCGGGCAGGACCAGCAGCCCCCCCUUCUGGGGGGGAUGGCAGGAAGGCACGCAAGGGUACCAUACCGUCUGCCUGCCGGGCGGUGUGGGCCGGUCGAUUUCAGACCUAUCAACUUAAGUGUGGGGUAGAGCCCCACACUGGUAAUAACGGGUACAGAGGAUCAGGGUUCGGUCCUGGAGAGGUAGCCUUAGAGAUCGCUACCACUUCUAAGGAAGGCAGCAGGCGCGCAACGUUCCCAAUGAGGACCCCUUGAGGACGUAAAGGGGCAUAGCAAUGCGGGGCAGUAAAAUGCCCUGUAAUUGAAAUGGGGGCGUCCUAGACCCCCCACCGAGUAACGAUUGGAGGACAAGUCUG
RNAcentral lists this ribosomal RNA (499 nucleotides) under uncultured bright spored 1. RNAcentral describes it as "partial 18S ribosomal RNA". It matches the Rfam family "Eukaryotic small subunit ribosomal RNA", at positions 90 to 563 of the family's 1831-position model. The record is from RNAcentral. Lineage: Eukaryota; Evosea; Eumycetozoa; Liceales.